AUAGCGUAUAUUAAAGUUGUUGCGGUUAAAAAGCUCGUAGUCGAAUCUGUGUCCCGCGCCGUCGGUUCAUCGCUCGCGGUGCUAACUGACGUGUCGUGGGACGUCCUGCCGGUGGGCUUAGCUCGUUCACGGGCGGCCCAACUUGAAAUCCCACCGCGGUGCUCUUCAUUGAGUGUCGAGGUGGGCCGGCACGUUUACUUUGAACAAAUUAGAGUGCUUAAAGCAGGCUAAAAUUUCGCCUGAAUAUUCUGUGCAUGGAAUAAUGGAAUAGGACCUCGGUUCUAUUUUGUUGGUUUUCGGAACCCCGAGGUAAUGAUUAAUAGGAACGGAUGGGGGCAUUCGUAUUGCGACGUUAGAGGUGAAAUUCUUGGAUCGUCGCAAGACGGACAGAAGCGAAAGCAUUUGCCAAAAACGCUUUCAUUGAUCAAGAACGAAAGUUAGAGGUUCGAAGGCGAUCAGAUACCGCCCUAGUUCUAACCAUAAACGAUGCCAGCUAGCGAUCCGCCGACGUUCCUCCGAUGACUCGGCGGGCAGCUUCCGGGAAACCAAAGCUUUUGGGUUCCGGGGGAAGUAUGGUUGCAAAGCUGAAACUUAAAGGAAUUGACGGAAGGGCACCACCAGGAGUGGAGCCUGCGGCUUAAUUUGACUCAACACGGGAAACCUCACCAGGCCCGGACACCGGAAGGAUUGACAGAUUGAGAGCUCUUUCUUGAUUCGGUGGGUGGUGGUGCAUGGCCGUUCUUAGUUGGUGGAGCGAUUUGUCUGGUUAAUUCCGAUAACGAACGAGACUCUAGCCUGCUAACUAGGCGUAUUUUCGACAUCCUAAAGGCCCGCCGGCCCGGCGUUCGCGUCGUGGUCGUGCGCGGUUUUUACUGUCGGCGUACAAACAAUUCUUCUUAGAGGGACAGGCGGCUUCUAGCCGCACGAGAUUGAGCAAUAACAGGUCUGUGAUGCCCUUAGAUGUUCUGGGCCGCACGCGCGCUACACUGAAGGAAUCAGCGUGUCCUCCCUGGCCGAGAGGCCCGGGUAACCCGCUGAACCUCCUUCGUGCUAGGGAUUGGGGCUUGCAAUUGUUCCCCAUGAACGAGGAAUUCCCAGUAAGCGCGAGUCAUAAGCUCGCGUUGAUUACGUCCCUGCCCUUUGUACACACCGCCCGUCGCUACUACCGAUUGAAUGAUUUAGUGAGGUCUUCGGACCGGUACGCGGCGGCGCUCCCGCGUCGCCGAU
RNAcentral lists this ribosomal RNA (1227 nucleotides) under Sternolophus decens. RNAcentral describes it as "SSU rRNA". It matches the Rfam family "Eukaryotic small subunit ribosomal RNA", at positions 594 to 1740 of the family's 1831-position model. The record is from RNAcentral. Lineage: Eukaryota; Metazoa; Arthropoda; Insecta; Coleoptera; Hydrophilidae.